Molecule: long non-coding RNA, 124 nt
Organism: Octopus sinensis (East Asian common octopus)
Lineage: Eukaryota; Metazoa; Mollusca; Cephalopoda; Octopoda; Octopodidae
Exons: 3
Source: RefSeq, a predicted model, not a curated record
CCUGUAAACAAAAGAAGGGCUUUUGCCCUGUUGUUCAGGCACCCGUGACUUUUGUGGGUUUAUUCACGAGGUCCUUAAUGCGCCUCCCCUAUUGGGAGUUUUAAAUCGUUUGUGAGAGAAAGUU